CCUACGGGUGGCUGCAGUCGAGAAUCAUUCACAAUGGGGGAAACCCUGAUGGUGCGACGCCGCGUGGGGGAAUGAAGGUCUUCGGAUGGUAAACCCCUGUCAUGUGGGAGCAAAUUAAAAAGAUAGUACCACAAGAGGAAGAGACGGCUAAAUCUGUGCAAGCAGCCGCGGUAAGACAGAGGUCUCAAGCGUUGUUCGGAAUCACGGGGCGUAAAGCGUGCGUAGGCUGUUUCGUAAGGUGUGUGUGAAAGGCCCGGGCUCAACCCGAGGACGCCACAUGUUACUGCGAGACUAGAGUAAUGGAGGGGGAACCGGAAUUCCCGGUGUAGCAGUGAAAUGCGUAGAUAUCGAGAGGAACACUCGUGGCGAAGGCGGGUUCCUGGACAUUAACUGACGCUGAGGCACGAAGGCGAGGGGAGCGAACGGGAUUAGAUACCCGAGUAGUC
This 446-nucleotide ribosomal RNA is filed under the name uncultured bacterium. Its description in RNAcentral is "partial 16S ribosomal RNA". It matches the Rfam family "Bacterial small subunit ribosomal RNA", at positions 338 to 795 of the family's 1533-position model. The record is from RNAcentral.